Pollicipes pollicipes is the source of this 1107-nucleotide long non-coding RNA. RefSeq lists it as uncharacterized. The record is from RefSeq and is a predicted model, not a curated record. NCBI's taxonomy places the organism in Eukaryota, Metazoa, Arthropoda, Thecostraca, Pollicipedomorpha, Pollicipedidae. The transcript has 4 exons.
UUCUGUUCAUAUAGAGUGCUGUAGGCUUUCGUAUCAUUGAUUGCACACAUAUUUUGACACAUUAGUGCAUCGCAAAAAUUAUAGAACACACUUUGGAAAAAGCAAGUCAAAUUCAAUGUAUUACUUACUUAGUGAUGGGCAUGGAAUUUAAUGAGAUUUCUCAUGCAGGAGCAGCUUCUUGAAUACAAAUUCUGAGCUAUUCAGAAGGAUCUCGAGAAAACUGUCCAGACGGAUCAAAUCGCAGAUUUUCAAAUGUUUGCACUUAACUUAUCAUCUCGACGUUAGUUAAUCUUUACCCACUUCAGAUUGUUUGAGCAUUGUUGUUAUUUCAGGUGGUGUGGGAGCCAUUAGAUAUUGAAGCGAUUGAAGACCAGAAGGCCUUAGUGCGACUGGCUGGAUUCAGGUGGUUUAUAUGGAUUCCACUGGGAGAGUUAAAGAAGGACUUCCUCUGGAAAGUGUACUGCGACGAAGAGUGAUAGAGACAGCCGCGUCUCCAUGAAGUAGAAACCUCAAAGUACAGCAUGAUUCUGUUGCUGGCGGUCGUGUUUGGCGCCAUCUUGGCGCGUAGACCCUCCGACCGCUUUGACCGACGCUCUAGACGCCCCUUCGAGGUUCGUGGCCGCCAUAGCGGCAUACGCCGCUGGCAUCACUAGAGUGGUCGCCGCUGAAGCACAGGCUAUGCAGGAGGCUGCAGCAGUCGUGGCCACGGUGGCUAUCCGCGGUGGCUAGGUCGCCACUCUCGACACAGAAGAUGGCGUAGGAGAGCCGUCGGUUGGAGAGAUUUCGUUCUAGUCUGCCUGCGGUGUGACCCGACCCUGACCCGCACAAUGACCGCUGUCUGAACUGACCACUGUCCGCUUGACUCUGAUCGUCACCUGGAGCUGCCUCUCUGCUGCAAAAUACAUCUGCACAUCCACGGUCUCUUUUACGCAACAGGGAAGGUAUGACUUGAUCACACUGCGGUAAAUGCCAACGUUCGUGUGCCUUGCGGAAGACACCGCAGUGUUGAAGCAAAGCCAGCAGACUGAAGCCCUGCAUGAACGAGCUGCAUGAACGCCACGACCGGUCACCCUUUCAGGCGUGCCUGGUCGUAGUGUGGGGUGCGAU